CUACGGGAUGCAGCAGUGGGGAAUCUUGGACAAUGGGCGCAAGCCUGAUCCAGCCAUGCCGCGUGAGUGAAGAAGGACGGAGGGACGGAAAGAUCUUUCGCCAGAGAUGAUAAUGACAGUAUCUGGUAAAGAAACCCCGGCUAACUCCGUGCCAGCAGCCGCGGUAAUACGGAGGGGGUUAGCGUUGUUCGGAAUUACUGGGCGUAAAGCGCGCGUAGGCGGAUUAGUCAGUCAGAGGUGAAAUCCCAGGGCUCAACCCUGGAACUGCCUUUGAUACUGCUAGUCUUGAGUUCGAGAGAGGUGAGUGGAAUUCCGAGUGUAGAGGUGAAAUUCGUAGAUAUUCGGAGGAACACCAGUGGCGAAGGCGGCUCACUGGCUCGAUACUGACGCUGAGGUGCGAAAGUGUGGGGAGCAAACAGGAUUAGAUACCCUCGUAGUC
RNAcentral lists this ribosomal RNA (439 nucleotides) under uncultured bacterium. Its description in RNAcentral is "partial 16S ribosomal RNA". It matches the Rfam family "Bacterial small subunit ribosomal RNA", at positions 339 to 795 of the family's 1533-position model. The record is from RNAcentral.